Molecule: ribosomal RNA, 442 nt
Filed under: uncultured bacterium
Lineage: Bacteria
Description: bacterial SSU rRNA
Rfam family: Bacterial small subunit ribosomal RNA
Source: RNAcentral
CUACGGGAGGCAGCAGCAAGGAAUCUUCCGCAAUGGGCGAAAGCCUGACGGAGCAACGCCGCGUGUGGGAUGACGCCUUUCGGGGUGUAAACCACUUUUCUCGGGGAAGAAGCACUGACGGUACCUGAGGAAGAAGGACCGGCUAACUACGUGCCAGCAGCCGCGGUAAUACGUAGGGUCCGAGCGUUGUCCGGAGUUACUGGGCGUAAAGCGCGCGCAGGCGGCGGUGUAAGCAUGGCGUGAAAGCCCCAGGCUUAACCUGGGAGGGUCGUCGUGGACUGCACCGCUUGAGGGCGGUAGGGGCUGGUGGAAUGCCUGGUGUAGUGGUGAAAUGCGUAGAGAUCAGGCGGAACACCCGUGGCGAAGGCGGCCAGCUGGGCCGUCCCUGACGCUGAGGCGCGAAGGCGUGGGGAGCGAACGGGAUUAGAUACCCUUGUAGUCC